UACAGAGGGUGCAAGCGUUGUUCGGAAUUAUUGGGCGUAAAGGGCGUGUAGGCUGUUAAGUAAGUCUUCUGUGAAAUCUACGGGCUUACCCCGUAACGUGCAGAGGAAACUGCUUAGCUUGAGUGUCGGAGAGGAUAGGGGAAUACCCGGUGUAGAGGUGAAAUUCGUAGAUAUCGGGAGGAACACCUGAGGCGAAGGCGGGCUACUGGGCCGAUACUGACGCUGAUGCGCGAAAGCGUGGGGAGCAAACAGG
This 253-nucleotide ribosomal RNA is filed under the name uncultured bacterium. Its description in RNAcentral is "partial 16S ribosomal RNA". It matches the Rfam family "Bacterial small subunit ribosomal RNA", at positions 524 to 776 of the family's 1533-position model. The record is from RNAcentral.